UCUAGAGUCCACCAGACACAGGCUGGAGUGCCUUCCUCGUCUCGCCACACACACACACACACAGCUUUGAUGAUGCCCUGCCCAUGAGAGGUGAUUACUUUGGAGACCAGCAAGUAUUGAAAUCCUUGAGAUUCACGGCUUUUGUAAUCCAGCAUGAAAUCUUCCAGACAUAUGAAUAGGCUUCUCAGCCAGGAAAAAUAUACAGAAGAGAACAGAGGGACUGCAAGUUUUGGGGAAGGACUGAAAGAACACUCACAUCACAGGAGUCCUUUCCACCCUCCAGGAAGCCGAGGCAGAACAUGUUGUUGGUGAUCAUGCCUGGGUAGGAAUUUCUGCACGAACUGGCAGAAAGAACAGGGGCUUCCAGACACUGAAGGAUUGAUGGGUAUUUGCCUGUUGUGAGCAAAAAUGGAAAAACAUUCUGUAUCUUCCAUGAAAUCUAUAAUUCUUUCAAUUUGCUAAACAUUUGUCAUUUAAAAGUACUUUUGAUUUGUUUA
Peromyscus maniculatus bairdii (prairie deer mouse) is the source of this 497-nucleotide non-coding RNA. Lineage: Eukaryota; Metazoa; Chordata; Mammalia; Rodentia; Cricetidae. The record is from RefSeq and is a predicted model, not a curated record.